This is a long non-coding RNA of Anolis carolinensis (green anole), 1502 nucleotides long. RefSeq lists it as uncharacterized. The transcript has 3 exons. The record is from RefSeq and is a predicted model, not a curated record. NCBI's taxonomy places the organism in Eukaryota, Metazoa, Chordata, Lepidosauria, Squamata, Anolidae.
CUGAAUUCCAAAACAUCUAGAGGAGCACAUUGAAUAUUCUUUUCCCAAGAAACCUCAUGAAAUUCCUGGUGUUGCCCCAUAUGAAGAAUUCGAUGAAAUUCAAAAGAUUCAAAGGGGUUGUGAAAAGUCUAAUAAAGGGAAAUUCAGCAAUCUGGCUGUUGGACCACUGAAAAAGGACCGGGCAGGACCCAGCCGAAACCUUAACAAGAAAGACUCAGCAGCUGGAUCUUUUGGCUAAUGGGGGUGAGGGGGCUGAGUGGUACUCUACCUGAGGUGGAGGCCGUGGCAUGUGGGCGGCCUCACAAAUCAGGCAAGAGCGGGGUCCUGGUGGUAGUGGCUUCUCCUCAUCCAUCGCUUCCUGAAGUCCCCCACUCGAGGCAAAUGAGGCCGGAAAGAGAGAGAAAGAGAAAAAAAAGCAGGAAAAGGCUUUUGUGGAGAAUCCAUAAACAUGGAUUAUGCUUGUACUGAUGGGACCUCUGAAUUCUUAUAUUAUUCAGUCUGAUUUGGCAUUAUAUCUUGGCUUUUGCAGCAAAGAUUUUCAUUUCCUAAUUAAAACACUAUGGACCUACAAUGUCUCAUUCUGUCAUUUAAUUGCUGACCCUGAAAUGCUGAAAUGUUUAUAUGUUCGAUUUCUUCUUUUUUAUUCAUAUUUCUCACAUACCAUAUACCCGUAAUACAUGUUGUGUACCUGCAAACCUUCUUUUCACCCCAGAGUACAUGAACAGGUGAACAUCCUUUCAGCUUGAGUCCAGCUGUGCCAUUGGCCAAAGUGACGCUCAUACCUCUCCUCUGCUGUACCCCAGUAGCUUGUUGAGUGCUUUCCAACUUCACAGUGUCAUCUUCUGACACUAUCUCCUAGAUGAAACAUAUGGUUUCCAUGGUAAAAGACAUUUACCGUGCCUUCUUCUGCAAAGUACUAACACAUCUCAACUAUUUUUAGUUUAGUUUAUAGUGGCACUGCUGUCAUCCCUGAGAGAUCCUCUGUCAAUGUCUUUCAUACAGCACUACUACUGCUGUCUAGUGUCUUUUGGACACUUUUAAUCUGGGUCCUCACCAAAUGCUUUUCUGACAUGGGAGACUAUCCAUAAACCUAUCACCACAGAAAGGUAGUACCAUGGUGGAACAUCUUCACAUACCAAAUCUCAUUGGCUACACUGAGUGGUGACAUCAUCUCAUUCCCUUAGUAAUCUGCAAAGUAAAUUGGAUCCGCACUGCCCUAUAAUCUGGUUUCAGAAUGUGGAUUAACUGCACUGAACUAGAUUACAGUCUACACAGUUAAUCUACAUUCUGAAACUGGGUUAUAGGUCAGUGUAGAUCCAGCCUUAAUUGGACUGGUCACGGAACUAAGCCAAGAAGCACUGCUCUAGUUCUAAAAUGUCUCUGAGUCCCAUUAAUAAAAAUCAGAUCUCCUACAGGUUAUUAAGAUGCAAUGACCUUCACUAACUAAUGUGUUUGGAACUGAAAACACGGUAAUAAAUCCAAAGGGUAAAACAGUGAAAGAU